Molecule: ribosomal RNA, 296 nt
Filed under: uncultured bacterium
Lineage: Bacteria
Description: partial 16S ribosomal RNA
Rfam family: Bacterial small subunit ribosomal RNA
Source: RNAcentral
UUGCUCUGUGGAUCAGUGGCGAACGGGUGAGUAACACGUGAGCAACCUGCCCCGGACUCUGGGAUAAGCGCUGGAAACGGCGUCUAAUACUGGAUACGAGCUGCGACCGCAUGGUCAGCAGUUGGAAAGAUUUUUCGGUCUGGGAUGGGCUCACGGCCUAUCAGCUUGUUGGUGAGGUAAUGGCUCACCAAGGCGUCGACGGGUAGCCGGCCUGAGAGGGUGACCGGCCACACUGGGACUGAGACACGGCCCANACUCCUACGGGAGGCAGCAGUGGGGAAUAUUGCACAAUGGGC